GACGAACGCUGGCGGCGUGCUUAACACAUGCAAGUCGAACGGAAAGGCCCUGCUUUUGUGGGGUGCUCGAGUGGCGAACGGGUGAGUAACACGUGAGUAACCUGCCCUUGACUUUGGGAUAACUUCAGGAAACUGGGGCUAAUACCGGAUAGGAGCUCCUGCUGCAUGGUGGGGGUUGGAAAGUUUCGGCGGUUGGGGAUGGACUCGCGGCUUAUCAGCUUGUUGGUGGGGUAGUGGCUUACCAAGGCUUUGACGGGUAGCCGGCCUGAGAGGGUGACCGGCCACAUUGGGACUGAGAGACGGCCCAGACUCCUACGGGAGGCAGCAGUGGGGAAUAUUGCACAAUGGACGGAAGCCUGAUGCAGCAACGCCGCGUGCGGGAUGACGGCCUUCGGGUUGUAAACCGCUUUCGCCUGUGACGAAGCGUGAGUGACGGUAAUGGGUAAAGAAGCACCGGCUAACUACGUG
RNAcentral lists this ribosomal RNA (468 nucleotides) under uncultured bacterium. RNAcentral's name for it is "partial 16S ribosomal RNA". It matches the Rfam family "Bacterial small subunit ribosomal RNA", at positions 28 to 507 of the family's 1533-position model. The record is from RNAcentral.